Molecule: long non-coding RNA, 5398 nt
Filed under: Populus tremula
Lineage: Eukaryota; Viridiplantae; Streptophyta; Magnoliopsida; Malpighiales; Salicaceae
Description: long non-coding RNA (PTRE_LNC003466)
Source: RNAcentral
GCAAAAUUGAAAGAAUUAAUUAAGGACCAAAUUGAAUAAUCCAGGAAUUAAGGACUGUUUUGUAAACAGUGCACCAAUUUAGGGAUUUAAGUGAAAUUUAUCCAAUAAAAGGGCAAAAUUAAAAGAAAUUUUUAAUUUUGCUUAAGGGUCCAAUUGCCAAAUUUCUAAAGUUCAGGGAUCAAAAUGGAAGUGUCCAUUGCUGUUUGAAACGUCGUCGUCGGUGGUAGAAUCCCUUGCUGCCAAAACGCCGCCGUUGUUGGUGGAACAACCGUGUGAUCUUCUUCAUCCCGAUUCAACCGGAGACCUGAAAAUCUGCAACAAAUUCAAUCGUGGACCGAGUCCCUUGCACACGAUCUCGUUCGUGGAGGAUACAGUCCUGCAAAGGCAGGACUGAUUAGAGGCAAGCUUGGGGAUCUCUAUAAAUGAGAGACUAAAAACCAGACACAGGAAGGAGGAAAAAGCCAGAAAAAAAGACGAAAGAAAAAGCCAGAAAAACAAAGAAGAAAAACAACAAAAACAGAGCAAUUCUGUCGCACCCGACAGAGCAAACAAAACACAAUCAAAAAAAGAAAAUACAGAGAGAGGAACGAAGACACAGGGGAAGGGGAAACAGAAAAAAAAAAUAGAGAGGCACACAGAAAUACAUAAAGAAAUAACACGCAGAGCAGGGGAGAAAAAGGGAAGCACACACACAGACAAGGAUUGAUUAUCCCUGCCAUCGUGUUAUCCCUGCAAAAACAAAAAAUAAAGACAACAAUCGGCAUCCACAGUAAACCGGCAUCUCCAUUGUUGUCUCCUUCGUCAUCUCAAAGUCUGUUAAAAACAAAAAGCAGACCGCGGGCACAAGAACGGAAAAAGCAGAAGAAAAGGUAUCAAGCAGGCGAAAGUCACCACCAGCGUUCCAGCCAGAAUCGUCCCCAUCGCCAGGUACGCGACUUCUUCCUCUUGCAUUGUUUCAGUAAUUGACAUUUACACUGUGCAUGAAUCAUGUGUUUUUAAAUGUAUGAAUAAUGGUAUGUAGUGAACUUGUUACUCAUAACUCAUGAAAUGCAUCUUUGCAAAGAAUAAACCAUCACAGUAUACGAGGUCAAAGUUUAUUGAUCAUAGCUGCUUGCGCUUGAAAUGAGGAAAUGCCAUCUUUGUUAUUCCUUUCACGUUCUAAAAUAAGUACAUCCCUUGCAAACCCUUUUUGAGCCUGAAUAAUUUUUCUUUCAUAAAAAAAAUCCCGACUAAGAUCACACCCUACACUGGGGGCAAGUGAAAUUUCAAUGAUCAAGAAAGAUGAUAAAGCCAAAAGCUAAAAGAGCCCAAGAAACUCAAAUGCUAGGGAUCAUGCCCACAUCACGAAAAAGGGGGGCAAGUGAAAUUUCAAUGAUCAAGAAAGAGGAUAAAGCAGUGAGAAAGCCAAAAGGAAAAAGAGCCCAAGAAACUCAAAUACUAGGGGGCAUGCCCAUAUCACAAGAAAAAGUGAUAACCAAGAUAAAAUGAGUAUGCUCUAGCGGAGCAAUGAAAAAGAAGAAAAAAGGGGCAAAUCAAAGAAGAGCGGCAAAGGAAAAUAUGAAUGACGUCAAAAGUCAAACUAUUGAUCGUGAUCUUCAGUCUUUAAAACCCUGAAACACUCUUUUAGCCUUAUGAAUCCUUUUCUUUCAUAGCCAAAAACCACAGCCUAUGUUACGUGCUUGUAGAAGUCCUUUCUAAUCAAGCAAGCAAGCAAUCUAGAACAAUAAACAAUGCUCUCAAAAUGCAAAGAAUACUUUUUCAUAAGAUUCAUGACAUCAAGAAUAAACUACUCAUUAUUAUUCAUGCUGAUAAAAAUAAAUGUUCAAAAAGACACAAGUUUUUCUCAUACAAAACCUCGAGCUUUUUCUCGAGCCCUUCACUUCAAAACAAAAGGUCAUCUCAUGAUAUAUUUUCACCCAAAACCUUGUUACCAAACACAAGAGCAAAUAAUCUCUUUUCCUAGAAAGAAAAUAACAAAGGAGUUGCAAGAUUUCAAAAGCAAAUUGUUGAUUGACUCACAUCGAAAUAAUUUUUGUUUUCAAAAUGCAAGAUCAAGAUUUCAAGAUUCAUUCUAGACCCAUAUUCCUCCACCAAACUGAAAAGGAGAGAAAUGAGAGAAUGGCCUCUUAAAACCUUUAUUUAUCUAAGUCGUUGACAGAAGCACACUUAGGGGCAAUAACCAAUACAAGGGGGCAACAUUGUGUUUAGAAGGAAAGAUUCUAGAAAAGGAGAUGGUAAUUUCCUUCAACCAGACAAGGGGGCAUUUUGGUUUACAAAAGACAGCUCGAUCCUUUCAGUAAGUGAUACCGAAUGUUUUUAGCAGUGAGACGAGGGGUAAUGAAUAAUCCUCUCAAAUUAUUUGACGAAUCAGAAAAUCUUUAGCAAGCAAGUGGGUCACGAUGGGCACCACAAAUGCUGAGUUAUGCAAACAAAUUUGGAAGUAGACUUACAUGGGCCAACUCGAGUGGGCUGGAAGUCAAGCGACAAAGAUGACUCAAAUCAGAUAGCAAGAUCUCACCAACUAAUCAACAAGAAGAUUGUGAAGAAAUGGGGGCCUAUAUUUCAAAUCAGGUAAAGAUGCAUGCAUAUCAUCUAAACUUUGAGACAUUGAGCAAUGAUUUCUGCAUUAGAAAAAAAUUCGAACAGAAUCCAUCCAGUGGAAGGCCACCUUGAAAUGGCGAACAUUGAAAUUGCUUUUGAAAAAUUUUCACUUUUGAGAAUUUUUCAACCUGGGCAGGCCGCCCAUGAGAAUUAGGCCACCAAAAAAAUCUCUGUAUUUUUCCACCUUUCAGCCUCAACCUCUGAGUUUUUCGAGCGCGCCUUCGAGCCAUCGACCAUUAGCAUUUCCUAUCCUAUACCUCCAUUCGAGCGCGCCUUCGAGCCCUCGUCUUAUUUUUUUCGAGCGCGCCUUCGAGCCCUCGACCACAAAGGUAGUGCAUUUUCUAUCCUACCUCCAUUCGAGCGCGCCUUCGAGCCGUCGUCUUAUUUAUUUUCGAGCGCGCCUUCGAGCCCUCGACCAUCAAAGGUAGUGCAUUUUCUAUCCUACCUCCAUUCGAGCGCGCCUGGAGCCCUCGUCUACAUUCGAGCGCGCCGUCGAGCCUCGUCUUAUUUAUUUCGAGCGCGCCUUCGAGCCCUCGACCAUCGAAGGUGCAUUUUCUAUCCUACCUCCAUUCGAGCGCGCCUUCGAGCCCUCGUCUUAAUUCGAGCGCGCCUACGAGCCCUCGUCUUAAUUCGAGCGCGCCUUUGAGCCUCGUUUCCAUUCGAGCGCGCCUUCGAGCCCUCGUCUUACAUUCGAGCGCGCCUUCGAGCCCUCGACCAUUAAAGGUAGUGCAUUUUCUAUCCUACCUACAUUCGAGCGCGCCUUUGAGCCCUCGUCUUAUCUCCAUUCGAGCGCGCUUUCGAGCCCUCGUCUUAUCCAUUCGAGCGCGCCUUCGAGCCCUCGUCUUACAUUCGAGCGCGCCUUCGAGCCCUCGACCAUUAAAGGUAGUGCAUUUUCUAUCCUACCUACAUUCGAGCGCCCUUCGAGCCUCGUCUUAUCUCCAUUCGAGCGCGCCUUCGAGCCUCGUCUUAUUUCUCUUCGAGCGCGCCUUCGAGCCCUCGACCAUUAAAGUAGUGCAUUUUCUAUCUUACCUCCAUUCGAGCGCGCCUUUGAGCCUCGUCUUAUCUCAUUGAGCGCGCCUUCGAGCCCUCGUCUUAUUUUUUCGAGCGCGCCUCAAGCCCUCGACCAUCAAAGGUAGUGCAUUUUCUAUCUACCCUCAUUCGAGGCGCGCCUUCAAGCCCCCGUCUUAAAUCUAUUCGAGCGCGCCUUCGAGCCCUCGUCUUACAUUCGAGCGCGCCUUUGAGCCCUUGUCUUAUCUCUAUUCGAGCGCGCCUUCGAGCCCUCAUCUUUUAAAAAUAAAAAUAAAAAAAGAAAAAAGAAAAAAAAGGAUAGGUUGUCUUCCAAAGGACUUGUUUUCUCUAUAAAAGUCCUGUGUCAUCUCUGGUUUUCGAAGUUUUCAAGACUCUAAAAAAAGGCAAAGGUUCUUUCUGUAUCUAAUUUUUUUAUAAAUUUACUACACAAAGCUAAAAGAAAAUGAAUUUUCUUUUACAUUGCAUGUAAAUAUGAUAAAGAGGGGGCAACUGUCAUAACCCAAUUUUUAAACAAAUAAUAAAAAUUAAUAUAGUUAGUAAUUGGGUUAAGACAACAAAUCUUGAUGUUUAAGGAUAAAAUUAUCAGUUUUGAGAAUAAAUUGGUCAAAAAUUGAAGAAUUAAUAAGUUUGGAAAUUUACUUAAAAUUUGGAUUAGUUUAAUUAAUGAAAUUAAAAAAAUUAAUAAGUUUGUGGACUUAAUUAAACUUUAAUUUAAUUAAUUAAAUAAAUUCAGGGACUUAAUUGAAAUUUAUCCAAAAGGGGCAAAAUUGAAAGAAUUAAAUUAAGGACCAAAUUGAAUAAUCCAGGAAUUAAGGACUGUUUUGUAAACAGUGCACCAAUUUAGGGAUUUAAGUGAAAUUUAUCCAAUAAAAGGGCAAAAUUAAAAGAAAUUUUUAAUUUUGCUUAAGGGUCCAAUUGCCAAAUUUCUAAAGUUCAGGGAUCAAAAUGGAAGUGUCCAUUGCUGUUUGAAACGUCGUCGUCGGUGGUAGAAUCCCUUGCUGCCAAAACGCCGCCGUUGUUGGUGGAACAACCGUGUGAUCUUCUUCAUCCCGAUUCAACCGGAGACCUGAAAAUCUGCAACAAAUUCAAUCGUGGACCGAGUCCCUUGCACACGAUCUCGUUCGUGGAGGAUACAGUCCUGCAAAGGCAGGACUGAUUAGAGGCAAGCUUGGGGAUCUCUAUAAAUGAGAGACUAAAAACCAGACACAGGAAGGAGGAAAAAGCCAGAAAAAAAGACGAAAGAAAAAGCCAGAAAAACAAAGAAGAAAAACAACAAAAACAGAGCAAUUCUGUCGCACCCGACAGAGCAAACAAAACACAAUCAAAAAAAGAAAAUACAGAGAGAGGAACGAAGACACAGGGGAAGGGGAAACAGAAAAAAAAAAUAGAGAGGCACACAGAAAUACAUAAAGAAAUAACACGCAGAGCAGGGGAGAAAAAGGGAAGCACACACACAGACAAGGAUUGAUUAUCCCUGCCAUCGUGUUAUCCCUGCAAAAACACAAAAAAUAAAGACAACAAUCGGCAUCCACAGUAAACCGGCAUCUCCAUUGUUGUCUCCUUCGUCAUCUCAAAGUCUGUUAAAAACAAAAAGCAGACCGCGGGCACAAGAACGGAAAAAGCAGAAGAAAAGGUAUCAAGCAGGCGAAAGUCACCACCAGCGUUCCAGCCAGAAUCGUCCCCAUCGCCAGGUACGCGACUUCUUCCUCUUGCAUUGUUUCAGUAAUUGACAUUUACACUGUGCAAGUGAAUUUUAAUUCACUUGCAC